Molecule: ribosomal RNA, 433 nt
Filed under: uncultured bacterium
Lineage: Bacteria
Description: partial 16S ribosomal RNA
Rfam family: Bacterial small subunit ribosomal RNA
Source: RNAcentral
AACGAACGCUGGCGGCAUGCCUAACACAUGCAAGUCGAACGAGACCUUCGGGUCUAGGGGCGCACGGGUGCGUAACGCGUGGGAACCUGCCCGUAGGUUCGGAAUAACUCACCGAAAGGGGUGCUAAUACCGGAUAAGGUCUUCGGACCAAAGAUUUAUCGCCUUUGGAUGGGCCCGGGUUGGUUUAGGUAGUUGGUAGGGUAAAAGCCUACCAAGGCGACGAUCCAUAGCUGGUCUGAGAGGAUGCUCAGCCACACUGGGACUGAGACACGGCCCAGACUCCGACGGGAGGCAGCAGUGGGGAAUAUUGGACAAUGGGCGCAAGCCUGAUCCAGCAAUGCCGCGUGAGUGAUGCAGGCCUUAGGGUUGUAAAGCUCUUUUACCCGGGAUGAUAAUGACAGUACCGGGAGAAUAAGCUCCGGCUAACUCCGUG